RNAcentral lists this ribosomal RNA (502 nucleotides) under uncultured bacterium. Its description in RNAcentral is "partial 16S ribosomal RNA". It matches the Rfam family "Bacterial small subunit ribosomal RNA", at positions 28 to 507 of the family's 1533-position model. The record is from RNAcentral.
GACGAACGCUGGCGGCGUGCCUAAUACAUGCAAGUCGAACGAACCGCGACUAGGUGCUUGCACUUGGUCAAGGUGAGUGGCGAACGGGUGAGUAACACGUGGGUAACCUACCUCAUAGUGGGGGAUAACAGUCGGAAACGACUGCUAAUACCGCAUAGGACAUAGGAUCACAUGAUUCUGUGAGGAAAGGUGGCGCAAGCUAUCGCGAAGAGAUGGACCCGCGGUGCAUUAGCUAGUUGGUAGGGUAAAGGCCUACCAAGGCGAUGAUGCAUAGCCGACCUGAGAGGGUGAUCGGCCACAUUGGAACUGAGACACGGCCCAAACUCCUACGGGAGGCAGCAGUAGGGAAUCUUCCGCAAUGGACGCAAGUCUGACGGAGCAACGCCGCGUGAGUGAAGAAGGUCUUCGGAUCGUAAAGCUCUGUUGUUAGAGAAGAACAGCGCAUAGAGUAACUGUUAUGCGUGUGACGGUAUCUAACCAGAAAGCCACGGCUAACUACGUG